GGGCACAAGCAACAGGCAAAGCCUGCACUUUCCCUCUCAGAAAGGGACCCGGUGGCCUGGGAGAACUGUUCCCAAAGCUGACUACAGCUGCUUUCUUACUCUCAGUAACUCUCACGGCGGCGGCGUGAAGCUCCAGGGAGACAGGCCUCUGUCCUCAGGGAAGCCAGCACUCCAGGUCUCUGUUUAGAAAGUCUCUUUUUGGCUGAUUCCUCUGCUGUGAACACAGCACCCCACCUUGGACACUCAAGAGUUAUUAAGCCAGUGACGAUCUGUUUCAAAAGGACGGUAUUAUUCAAACCUGAGCAGAAAGUCCUUGUGACCUGCACACUCCAAGUCUGACAGGAGGUCCCACGGCACUGUGUCUAAUCAAAGGCCUGAGACAAGGUUACAGUGAGACCCACACAUGGGCAGAGAGACAUCACAGUGAAGAAGGAGACAGGAGAGGAGCUUGUGGCCGCUGGAACUGAAGAAUGGGAAGGCAGAUGCCGAGUGUCCUCCAGGCAAAGACGAAACUUGAGAUACGGGCAGAGAUUCUGUGUGACUCGUCCAUCACUCAGCCAGAAACAUCUAAACCCUCGAAGCCAAGGGAGAGCCAAGAGCCACUGGGAGUGGAGAGAAGCAGUGCUUUUGUGACUCAGAAACGCUUCAAUGGAAGCCAGAGAGGGAGAACUCUGGAGGGAUGCCCACGUCAAAACCUCUCUGCCUCCUGACUCAGUUCACAGAGCAACAAAAAUCACUGGGCUUCACGGAAUGGGACAGCCAGGCUGUGUAGUGAUGGGCUGGGCAAGCAGAAGUCAGUAAUAGUGAAGAUUUAAAGUCCGUCUGAGGGGCUGGGGAUGCAGCUAAGUUGGCUGAGAACUUCCCUUGCGUUGCGUGAACCAGGAUUGGUCAGCAGGACUGCACCAACAGGGCAUGAUGGUUCACGUGUUCGGUCUGCAACCCUGGCAUGGGUAAGAGAGGAGCCCAAGGUCAUCUUUACUUAGAGUCUUAAAGAAAUAAAAGUAAAUGGCUGAGAGAAGGAAAAUCACCCUGGACCGGUUAUCAAAUGCCAAGCAGUGAGUUCUAAAUGACCACACUACACAUGAGCUCAGCACCAAAGUCUUGCUCUCUAAUUAUCGUUGCAUAUAUAUAGAUGUGCAUAUCUAUAACACAUAUACAUACAUGCACAUAUACAUAUAUGAAUAUG
This 1186-nucleotide small RNA is filed under the name Rattus norvegicus (Norway rat). RNAcentral describes it as "uncharacterized LOC102549596". The record is from RNAcentral. Lineage: Eukaryota; Metazoa; Chordata; Mammalia; Rodentia; Muridae.